GACGAACGCUGGCGGCGUGCCUAAUACAUGCAAGUUGAGCGAUGAAGAUUGGUGCUUGCACCAAUUUGAAGAGCAGCGAACGGGUGAGUAACGCGUGGGGAAUCUGCCUUUGAGCGGGGGACAACAUUUGGAAACGAAUGCUAAUACCGCAUAACAACUUUAAACAUAAGUUUUAAGUUUGAAAGAUGCAAUUGCAUCACUCAAAGAUGAUCCCGCGUUGUAUUAGCUAGUUGGUGAGGUAAAGGCUCACCAAGGCGAUGAUACAUAGCCGACCUGAGAGGGUGAUCGGCCACAUUGGGACUGAGACACGGCCCAAACUCCUACGGGAGGCAGCAGUAGGGAAUCUUCGGCAAUGGACGAAAGUCUGACCGAGCAACGCCGCGUGAGUGAAGAAGGGUUUCGGAUCGUAAAACUAUGUUGGUAGAGAAGAACGUUGGUGAGAGUGGAAAGCUCAUCAAGUGACGGUAACUACCCAGAAAGGGACGGCUAACUACGUG
This 497-nucleotide ribosomal RNA is filed under the name uncultured bacterium. RNAcentral describes it as "partial 16S ribosomal RNA". It matches the Rfam family "Bacterial small subunit ribosomal RNA", at positions 28 to 507 of the family's 1533-position model. The record is from RNAcentral.